Molecule: ribosomal RNA, 503 nt
Filed under: uncultured bacterium
Lineage: Bacteria
Description: partial 16S ribosomal RNA
Rfam family: Bacterial small subunit ribosomal RNA
Source: RNAcentral
GAUGAACGCUAGCGAUAGGCCUAACACAUGCAAGUCGAGGGGCAUCACGGAGUAGCAAUACUUUGGUGGCGACCGGCGCACGGGUGAGUAACGCGUAUGCAAUCUACCUACAACAGGGGGAUAACCCGGAGAAAUCCGGACUAAUACCGCAUAACACAGGGGUCCCGCAUGGGAAUAUUUGUUAAAGAUUUAUCGGUUGUAGAUGAGCAUGCGUUCCAUUAGGUAGUUGGUGAGGUAACGGCCCACCAAGCCUGCGAUGGAUAGGGGAACUGAGAGGUUUGUCCACCACACUGGAGCUGAGACACGGACCAGACUCCUACGGGAGGCAGCAGUGAGGAAUAUUGGUCAAUGGGCGAGAGCCUGAACCAGCCAAAUCGCGUGAAGGAAGACUGCCUUAUGGGUUGUAAACUUCUUUUGUACAGGAAUAAAAAGAGGGACGUGUCCUUCAUUGCAUGUACUGUACGAAUAAGCAUCGGCUAACUCCGUGCCAGCCGCCGCCGUAA